Long non-coding RNA from Suricata suricatta (meerkat), 2987 nucleotides. RefSeq lists it as uncharacterized. The transcript is spliced from 6 exons. NCBI's taxonomy places the organism in Eukaryota, Metazoa, Chordata, Mammalia, Carnivora, Herpestidae. The record is from RefSeq and is a predicted model, not a curated record.
AUUGAGGAACAGAGAGCAUGCAAACUGUCUCAGCCAAAGUGGCAAAUGUUGACCAGUGAAAUCACCUGGGUGCAGAGCCCUACCUGUCUGGCCGCCCCCGCCCACACGAAAGCAUUAAAUCAUCACUGUGCUUGAAGACAGAAAACUUGAGGUCUGGGCUCAGCCGUACCGGCUAUUGACCUUGGGUCCUUGUGCAGGUCGUAUGCCCCUCCCUUUUUCCCAAUGCCUUGACACACGCAUCACAUCAGAUAGUCUUGGAAGGGAACUCCAUGAAUGGGGAUAGACUUGGCAAAGGUGUUAGCCCAUCCUGGUUAAACAUUCCCAGUGUCCCCUGGGGCUGAAUUUAGACUCUGGCAGCUAGCAUAGAUAGAUUCUGUGGGGGACAGAGCUGUCACAUCUGCAGUCACUAAUGAUCUCCAUUUCAACACCCCAUUUAAAAUAUGAAGCACUGCAUAGUUGGUGUCUCCAGAUGUAGCUCUUUGAAAACUUCAUUCGGAAGUACCCAGUUCUCUGUAGUGCCCGCCCUCCCCUGCCUUUCUUGCUCAUUUUUGGCUGCAGUAUGUUUCUGAGAGCCAGCAGAAAUCCCAGCUCCUCGUAAGGAAAUGUCCCGUAUCCAAAGCCCAGCUUGGAUUAUUACCUCUGCCACAACUGCAGUGACCCCAGACUGCUGAGAGCAUCACCCGAAUUGGGUCAGGCUCUAGGGACUGGCCUGAAUAUUCCUUCCCCGUGACUCUAUAAAAUCACAGAUCCUGGAGAUAGAAGAGCCGUCAAGAGAUGCCAGCUUUAGGGCAUUGCCUCCCCACCAAAAGUGACACAAACAAGAAAGAGAAGACUCGAAAAUAAGAUACCAUGCUUCCUGAAAUAGGCUAUUCUUCACACAGAUAGAAUAGAAUUGGGGGGAGGAGCUAGAAAGCCAUGCCAUGGUUUUCACUUUCUUUUGCAAGUGACUGGGAGCCACUGGAGGAUUUGAAGCAGUUGAAUUAGCCAGAAUAAUUUUGGUAGAGGAAGUUCUCCCUGGAAGCAAUGACACAUACAUAGUCCUGACCGAUACUCAGCCAUCUGAGUCCUUGCCAACAAAGAUUGGAGGAGGGAUGUUGGAAAACAAGUGAGAGAAUCUGUGGCUAGUAGGCUUGGAUUAUAAGAUAUACUAAAAAAAAUAGACUCUUCAGAAUGAAGGAAAAUGAUAAUGGUGGAAAUUUGGAUAUGCAGAAAGGAAUGAAAAGCUCUAUAAAUGAAAUAAAGGUGGUGGAGGAGUCUGAAGAUAUGGUUUCAACUCAUGGCUGAACUUCAUUCAACUCAUUCAUUUAUUCAUUCAUUCACUCAGUCACUUACUUAGCACAGAUUUGAGGACUUCCGUUAUACAUGGCACUGCACUGCGUACCUGGGGUAUAUGGGUUUUAUAUAGAUGGACAGAGAGAUAGAUGAUAGAUGAAAUGGAUAUGGACAGAGAUAUAGAUAUAUAGAUACAGAUUUAACUGGGCCCUUGCAAAGCUCAGAGUCCAGUAAAGGACACGGCAUUAUAUAAACAGGCACAAAUUAUUGUGGUAACUUUCCAGAGGGAAUUGACUGGUGAACCACAGACCUAUAGGAUGGGGGAAGUCUGAUUUAUUCUGGUGGUCAGGCCAGGCUUCCUAUGUCGUCAUUUGAGAGCUGAGCUCCAAUGAAAGGAGACGGACAACUCCCUACCCCCUACCACAAACACCUGUGACACUGAUUGUAACAUGGAUUCUGAAGGCAGACUGCGUGAGUUUCUCUUUGUGUCUCUGCUCUAAAGUAGUUUUGCAGAGUCCUGGAGGACCAGGAUCCUUCAUGCUACCUUCCCAUCUGCAGCCCUAAAACACCGCUUAGGGGUUCAGGUAAUGGGAACGUUGCUGCUCAUCUCGGCUUCGCGACUGUCUAUUUUCAGGUGCAAAAAAUAGAAGGACCAGACCCCAAAGGGGGCAUUUUCUUUCCAAGAGGUUCCCCAGGGACUCCACCCACUGGAUUCUGCCAACAUCCCCUGUUCCUAGUUCAUUAUUCCUGGUUGAAAGGAUGUCCCGGGGAAGGCAGGAUUUCAAACUGGGCAUUUUGCCUCCUUGGCCGGAUUCAGAGGAGACUGGGGGGUCAACUAGCUGUGUCUGCCUGAGCUGUAGGCAGUAUUGAUUUCUUUCUGGUAAUCUGUAUCUUUUCUUCUUUUUUGGCAACACCGAUCAGAUUUUCUUUCUGGAAAGGAAUCUGCUCCCGUGAUGGGAGUUCCUGGUGUUUGGCCUCCUUGAAACUGAAGAAGGGACCUUGAAGUCUUCGAAUCCUGAGCAAAAGAGACAAAGUUGGAACGAGAGUUGUACAUUUAUUCUAAGGAGGCAUGGUCAAAAUGAUGCGCUAUUUUAUCUGCUACCCAGGAUGCCGGGACUGCCUAUUUUGUGUUCUUUUCACACUGGUUUUCCUAAUCUUCUCUCAGAUUCAGGAAACCAAAACCUCUGCUCUCUCUUCCCAGAUACCUCCAGUCAGAAGUGCCAUCUGCUCCCAUUAUCCCCUACCCAGCCCUCCUCCCCACCUCCCCCUGCCCCUGACCCCCAGCACCCAGCUCUUUGCUUGAAGCUCAUCCUAGCGGUCAAGUUUGGAUGGCUUUUCUGCUUUAAGUCAUUGCCUAUAUAUCUGUGCCCUCCCCUGCUUCCAUGUUUUUGACUGUUAACUCCUGAGGGCAGGGAUGGACUGAAUUCAUUUUCGGGUCUCUAACACCUAGCAUGGUGAUUAGCACAUGGGGCUUCUUGAUGCAUGUUAUGGUUGCUAUUCUUUUAGAGCUGUAACGAGGUACUGGGGCCCAUUAGAAAACAGACAACGCAGAAGACAAGAGUCUUGGCCAUGGAGAGAUUCCUGACCAUGUCUGCAGAACUUUUCCAGAAUCCUAUUUGCUGCACAGACUUAAUGACUCCAUUUUCUUCAGUGAAUUUUGACUCGUGGAGCCACCUCUCCUCUGUAUUACAACAAAUAUAUUACAAUGAAUUCUC